GACGAACGCUGGCGGCGUGCCUAAUACAUGCAAGUCGAGCGAACCAAUAAGAAGCUUGCUUUUUGUUGGUUAGCGGCGGACGGGUGAGUAACACGUGGGUAACCUGCCUGUAAGGCCGGGAUAACUCCGGGAAACCGGUGCUAAUACCGGAUAGAUUAUCUUUCCGCAUGGAGAGAUAAGGAAAGAUGGCUAUUGCCAUCACUUACAGAUGGGCCCGCGGCGCAUUAGCUAGUUGGUGAGGUAACGGCUCACCAAGGCGACGAUGCGUAGCCGACCUGAGAGGGUGAUCGGCCACACUGGGACUGAGACACGGCCCAGACUCCUACGGGAGGCAGCAGUAGGGAAUCUUCCGCAAUGGACGAAAGUCUGACGGAGCAACGCCGCGUGAGCGAAGAAGGUCUUCGGAUCGUAAAGCUCUGUUGUUAGGGAAGAACAAGUAUCGGAGGAAAUGCCGGUACCUUGACGGUACCUGACGAGAAAGCCACGGCUAACUACGUG
Molecule: ribosomal RNA, 498 nt
Filed under: uncultured bacterium
Lineage: Bacteria
Description: partial 16S ribosomal RNA
Rfam family: Bacterial small subunit ribosomal RNA
Source: RNAcentral